RNAcentral lists this unclassified non-coding RNA (201 nucleotides) under plant metagenome. RNAcentral's name for it is "partial contains small subunit ribosomal RNA, internal transcribed spacer 1, and 5.8S ribosomal RNA". The record is from RNAcentral.
UCUCUGUUGGUGAACCAGCGGAGGGAUCAUUAUCGAGUUUAUAACUCCCAAACCCUAUGUGAACUUACCACUUGUUGCUUCGGCGCGCGCUUCGGUGCCGCCGAGGACACUUAAACUCUUUGUUUUUAUAAGCAUUUCUGAGUGGCCGAAAGGCAAAAUACAAAUGAAUCAAAACUCUCAACAACGGAUCUCUUGGUUCUG